RNAcentral lists this ribosomal RNA (393 nucleotides) under uncultured bacterium. RNAcentral's name for it is "partial 16S ribosomal RNA". It matches the Rfam family "Bacterial small subunit ribosomal RNA", at positions 523 to 918 of the family's 1533-position model. The record is from RNAcentral.
AUACGGAGGACGCGAGCGUUAUCCGGAUUCAUUGGGUUUAAAGGGUGCGCAGGCGGCCGUGCAAGUCAGCGGUGAAAGCCCGGGGCUCAACCCCGGAAGUGCCGUUGAUACUGCAUGGCUGGAAUGCGGUCGAGGCGGGCGGAACGUGGCGUGUAGCGGGGAAAUGCGUAGAUAUGCCACAGAACGCCGAGAGCGGAGGCAGCUGGCCAGGCCUGCAUUGACGCUCGGGCACGAAAGCGUGGGGAUCGAACAGGAUUAGAUACCCUGGUAGUCCACGCCGUAAACGAUGGGCGCUCGUCGUCGGCGGCAGACAGUCGGCGGCCAAGCGAAAGCGAUAAGCGCCCCACCUGGGGAGUACGGCCGCAAGGCUGAAACUCAAAUGAAUUGGCGGGG